GUGGAUGAGGGAAAACCCAGUUCUGCUAGAAGAAAAUUGGAUCGAGAUAAUCUCCACCUUUAUGUCUGCAAUAACUUUAUAUUCGUUCUCGUCAUAGGAUCAUGCAAUUGCAGAUUCCAAGACAAAAAAUGCAUCCAAAUCAACUGCAAAACCAUUUAGAAAACAUUGGUCAUCUUGAUCAUCUCUCCAGUCAUUGUUAGAUAAACAUUGUAAACGACAAGGUGAUGGAUGAGGAAAACAGAGACCAUGUGAAACUAUAUACUUCAGAUACUGCAAUAGGCAUUUAACGAUUGUCCAGCGCAAAUCAGUAGGAUAAGUAUAUUAAUUGGCAAAUUUUGUUCAUUGAACAAAUCAUAAUGGACAAAGCUGCAAACUGCAGAGCCCCAACAACUAGUCAAUAUUUAUCAGUGUUUGCUAGAAAUUUUCCAGAAUCUUCAGUCUGGGGAGGAAUAAAUUGGCAUUGGAGUUACACAAGGUCUGGAAACUGUCACUUAGCUCAACUUCUUAGAAAGCUAGGAGAAUUCAAAGAAAAGAAUGUUAUUGUUGGUGAAGGCUCUCUCUCUCUCUCAACACAUGAAACCCACAAUUACCCACAACAAAAAUCAUGAAUUAAGUCAUGCCCUACACCAAUUGUUCACGAAAUCUGACUUUAACGCAUGCGGCUUGAGAAGCUGCAUGUUGAGAAAACAUUUUUUGAACAAAAUUGUGAUGCCCCAGGAGUGUACUCGUGCCCGUCACUUUGUUGGCAUGCACCUCUCUUGACUCACCCCUUAUAUGGUUAACCUUUUGUUUGAAUAAAUUAUUAACCUUUUAUUUUACAGGAAUUUAUUCUUUAAAAGGGAUGAACUAAUUAAUGAGCAAGCCACAUCAAUAUAGAGAACCGAAGGAAGAUGAUUAGAUAAAAAAGAAAACACUAACAUCUCUAAGCAGGUAGAGGAAACGUCGAAGGACAACGGCGCGGAAGGGAUCAACAUUUCAUUCAAACAAAACACAAAAUCAAGAACUGGAAAUAUGAUCACACUUCACUCAAACAGUGUUUAGGAAGCUAGAACGGUAAAACGUGGUACAUCACAUAGACUGCAAUGACAAGACAAAUAAUGGAAACAAAAGCAAAAGCAUGCAGAAAUAUCCAUGUUGAUCAAAAAUAUAAAAGCGGUGAGAUUUAUACCACAAUUUAGAUUGUUCCUUUUGCUUCAAGCUGGCCGAAUCUCAGCAUUUUCUAAGAAGCCGUAAAAAAGCACUCUCUCGGCUUUGGUUUCCUUCCAUUCUCCGCUAUCUUCUCCCCCUUCUUUUUCCUCUUACACAGAAUCCCUGCAA
RNAcentral lists this long non-coding RNA (1317 nucleotides) under Carica papaya (papaya). Its description in RNAcentral is "long non-coding RNA (CPAP_LNC011672)". The record is from RNAcentral. Lineage: Eukaryota; Viridiplantae; Streptophyta; Magnoliopsida; Brassicales; Caricaceae.